GAUGAACGCUAGCGGCAGGCUUAACACAUGCAAGUCGAGGGGUAUGGUUCUUCGGAACCAGAGACCGGCGCACGGGUGCGUAACGCGUAUGCAAUCUACCUUUUACUGAGGGAUAGCCCAGAGAAAUUUGGAUUAAUACCUCAUAGUAUAACAUGACCGCAUGGUCGAGUUAUUAAAGUCACAACGGUAAAAGAUGAGCA
RNAcentral lists this ribosomal RNA (200 nucleotides) under uncultured bacterium. Its description in RNAcentral is "partial 16S ribosomal RNA". It matches the Rfam family "Bacterial small subunit ribosomal RNA", at positions 28 to 231 of the family's 1533-position model. The record is from RNAcentral.